Molecule: ribosomal RNA, 253 nt
Filed under: uncultured prokaryote
Description: partial 16S ribosomal RNA
Rfam family: Bacterial small subunit ribosomal RNA
Source: RNAcentral
UACGGAGGAUGCAAGCGUUAUCCGGAAUCAUUGGGCGUAAAGCGUUCGUAGGUGGCUAUUCAAGUCUGCUGUCAAAGACUGGGGCUUAACCCCAGAAAGGCGGUGGAAACUGAAAGGCUAGAGUGCGGUAGGGGUAGAGGGAAUUCCCGGUGUAGCGGUGAAAUGCGCAGAUAUCGGGAAGAACACCAAUGGCGAAAGCACUCUGCUGGGCCGACACUGACACUGAGAGACGAAAGCUAGGGGAGCGAAUGGG